RNAcentral lists this ribosomal RNA (427 nucleotides) under uncultured bacterium. RNAcentral describes it as "partial 16S ribosomal RNA". It matches the Rfam family "Bacterial small subunit ribosomal RNA", at positions 355 to 774 of the family's 1533-position model. The record is from RNAcentral.
UGGGGAAUAUUGGACAAUGGGCGAAAGCCUGAUCCAGCCAUGCCGCGUGUGUGAAGAAGGUCUUCGGAUUGUAAAGCACUUUAAGUUGGGAGGAAGGGCAUUAACCUAAUACGUUAGUGUUUUGACGUUACCGACAGAAUAAGCACCGGCUAACUCUGUGCCAGCAGCCGCGGUAAUACAGAGGGUGCAAGCGUUAAUCGGAAUUACUGGGCGUAAAGCGCGCGUAGUUGGUUUGUUAAGUUGGAUGUGAAAUCCCCGGGCUCAACCUGGGAACUGCAUUCAAAACUGACUGACUAGAGUAUGGUAGAGGGUGGUGGAAUUUCCUGUGUAGCGGUGAAAUGCGUAGAUAUAGGAAGGAACACCAGUGGCGAAGGCGACCACCUGGACUAAUACUGACACUGAGGUGCGAAAGCGUGGGGAGCAGACA